GACGAACGCUGGCGGCGUGCUUAACACAUGCAAGUCGAACGGAAAGGCGCGGCUUUUGUGGGGUGCUCGAUUGGCGAAGGGGGGAGUAACACGUGAGGAACCUGCCCUUGUCUUUGUGGUAACAUCAGGGAACUGGGGCUAAUACCGGGUAUGAGCUCCUGCUGCAUGGGGGGGGUUGGAAAGAGACGGCGGUGGGGGAUGGACUCGCGGCUUAUCAGCUUGUUGGUGGGGUAGUGGAGUACCAAGGCUUUGACGGGUAGCCGGCCUGAGAGGGUGACCGGCCACAUUGCGCCUGCGAUACGGAGCAGUCUCCUAUGGGAGGCAGCAGUGGGGAGUAUUGCGCAAUGGGCGGAAGCCUGAUGCAGCAACGCCGCGUGCGUGAUGAUGGCCUUCGGGUUAUAAACCGCUUUCGCAUGUGCCGAAGCGUGAGUGACGGUAAUGGGUAAAGAAGCCCCGGCUAACUACGUG
This 468-nucleotide ribosomal RNA is filed under the name uncultured bacterium. Its description in RNAcentral is "partial 16S ribosomal RNA". It matches the Rfam family "Bacterial small subunit ribosomal RNA", at positions 28 to 507 of the family's 1533-position model. The record is from RNAcentral.